GACGGAUGAAUGGUCACAGAAAGAGUUAGAUUUUGAAGCUAAAAUCUCUUCAAUUAAUCAAUAUACUAAAACAAUAAUUGAAGAAAACUCGACACUAAAAAGAUCAAUUCUCGAAGUUGAACAACAGGGACGCGAAGAAUUAAAGGCUCAUCAAGAGUUAAAAGUGGAGUUCUGUCAGAAAAUGGAUGAAUGGUCACAGAAAGAGUUGAAUUUUAAAGCUGAAAUUUUUUUAAUUAAUCAAUACGCUAGAACGACACAUGAGGUGUUCCUUUCACAGGUGAAAACUAAACAAGAAGAAAACUUGAAACUAAAAAGAGCAAUCCUCCAAGUUGAAAGACAGGGACAGGAACAGUUAAGUCAGAAGACGGAUGAAUGGUCACAGAAAGAGUUAGAUUUUAAAGCUAAAAUCUCCUUAAUUAAUCAAUAUGCUAAAAAGAAAAUUGAAGA
Molecule: long non-coding RNA, 447 nt
Organism: Bolinopsis microptera
Lineage: Eukaryota; Metazoa; Ctenophora; Tentaculata; Lobata; Bolinopsidae
Exons: 3
Source: RefSeq, a predicted model, not a curated record